AAAUAUCCAACAAAGAAACAUUCGCAAUAAUUUAGCCAUUUAACUAAUAGUUCAUGCUCAAAAUCCUCCAAAGAAAGAUUACAUUCAAUAAAGAACGUUCAAAGUAAAGAUCGAGGCAUUAAAGAACAUUAACAACCUUCUUUAUCAGAUUCUACUAUGUUGUUGAGUGUACCAUUCUCAAUUCUUUACAUAUCAUUGAAAUCUCGAAAGUUUCUCAAUUAUCACAAUAAAUGAAAUUAGCUACAAAGAAAACUUCAAAAGUGGCUAAAAUUGCAUUACGUUUGAAUUGAAGGGACCAUAACUUAUCAUGAAGUGAACUACAACACAAAUUUGAUAUAUGGAGCUAAUAAGAAAUGGCCGCAUCAUAUGAAGAUAAUGUAUUCAACGAUGUAAGAGCCGGCCAUUGAUAGAUACAAGAACAAGUAAUUUCUUAUCUACACAAACUUGUCGUAGGUUUGGAAAUCUUUGAACCAUCUUUGCUAAAUAUGCAUCUGACUGCCACAUCAUGCCUAAGAUUAGGGAUUGGCGACA
This 531-nucleotide long non-coding RNA is filed under the name Physcomitrium patens. RNAcentral describes it as "long non-coding RNA (PPAT_LNC004137)". Lineage: Eukaryota; Viridiplantae; Streptophyta; Bryopsida; Funariales; Funariaceae. The record is from RNAcentral.